AUACGGAGGGUGCAAGCGUUAAUCGGAAUUACCGGGCGUAAAGCGUACGUAGGCGGUUCGUUAAGUUAGAUGUGAAAGCCCCGGGCUUAACCUGGGAACUGCAUUUAAAACUGGCGAACUAGAGUUGAGUAGAGGGGAGUGGAAUUUCAGGUGUAGCGGUGAAAUGCGUAGAGAUCUGAAGGAACACCAGUGGCGAAGGCGACUCCCUGGACUCGAACUGACGCUGAGGUACGAAAGCGUGGGUAGCAAACGGAAUUAGAUACCCUUGUAGUCC
This 274-nucleotide ribosomal RNA is filed under the name uncultured bacterium. RNAcentral describes it as "partial 16S ribosomal RNA". It matches the Rfam family "Bacterial small subunit ribosomal RNA", at positions 523 to 796 of the family's 1533-position model. The record is from RNAcentral.